AGCGUAGGCGGACUUUUAAGUGGGAUGUGAAAUACCCGGGCUUAACCUGGGUGCUGCAUUCCAAACUGGAAGUCUAGAGUGCAGGAGGGGAAAGUGGAAUUCCUAGUGUAGCGGUGAAAUGCGUAGAGAUUAGGAAGAACACCAGUGGCGAAGGCGACUUUCUGGACUGUAACUGACGCUGAGGCUCGAAAGCGUGGGGAGCAAACA
Molecule: ribosomal RNA, 207 nt
Filed under: uncultured Clostridium sp.
Lineage: Bacteria; Bacillati; Bacillota; Clostridia; Eubacteriales; Clostridiaceae
Description: partial 16S ribosomal RNA
Rfam family: Bacterial small subunit ribosomal RNA
Source: RNAcentral